GACGAACGCUGGCGGCGUGCUCAACACAUGCAAGUCGAACGGAAAGGCCCUGCUUUUGUGGGGUGCUCGAGUGGCGAACGGGUGAGUAACACGUGAGUAACCUGCCCUUGACUUUGGGAUAACUUCAGGAAACUGGGGCUAAUACCGGAUAGGAGCUCCUGCUGCAUGGUGGGGGUUGGAAAGUUUCGGCGGUUGGGGAUGGACUCGCGGCUUAUCAGCUUGUUGGUGGGGUAGUGGCUUACCAAGGCUUUGACGGGUAGCCGGCCUGAGGGGUGACCGGCCACAUUGGGACUGAGAUACGGCCCAGACUCCUACGGGAGGCAGCAGUGGGGAAUAUUGCACAAUGGGCGGAAGCCUGAUGCAGCAACGCCGCGUGCGGGAUGACGGCCUUCGGGUUGUAAACCGCUUUCGCCUGUGACGAAGCGUGAGUGACGGUAAUGGGUAAAGAAGCACCGGCUAACUACGUG
RNAcentral lists this ribosomal RNA (467 nucleotides) under uncultured bacterium. RNAcentral describes it as "partial 16S ribosomal RNA". It matches the Rfam family "Bacterial small subunit ribosomal RNA", at positions 28 to 507 of the family's 1533-position model. The record is from RNAcentral.